UUACAUGGCGGGCGGUGCGUGGGGGCCUCGUGCCCGCCGGCGCUUCUACAUCGACCUCCGGUAUUGGAACCAUGCACCGUCCGCCACCCUC
This 91-nucleotide non-coding RNA is filed under the name Stenotrophomonas maltophilia. The record is from RNAcentral. RNAcentral also lists the same sequence under 2 other names. Lineage: Bacteria; Pseudomonadati; Pseudomonadota; Gammaproteobacteria; Lysobacterales; Lysobacteraceae.